RNAcentral lists this ribosomal RNA (253 nucleotides) under uncultured bacterium. RNAcentral's name for it is "partial 16S ribosomal RNA". It matches the Rfam family "Bacterial small subunit ribosomal RNA", at positions 524 to 776 of the family's 1533-position model. The record is from RNAcentral.
UACGUAGGGGGCGAGCGUUGUCCGGAUUUACUGGGCGUAAAGAGCGCGCAGGCGGUCGUUCAAGUCGCGUGUGAAAGCCCCCGGCUCAACUGGGGAGGGUCAUUCGAUACUGAUCGACUCGAAGGCAGGAGAGGGUAGUGGAAUUCCCGGUGUAGUGGUGAAAUGCGUAGAUAUCGGGAGGAACACCAGUGGCGAAGGCGACUACCUGGCCUGUUCUUGACGCUGAGGCGCGAAAGCUAGGGGAGCAAACGGG